Molecule: non-coding RNA, 109 nt
Organism: Blastomyces dermatitidis ER-3
Lineage: Eukaryota; Fungi; Ascomycota; Eurotiomycetes; Onygenales; Ajellomycetaceae
Source: Rfam
GGCGCGAUGGCGGAGUGGUUAACGCGAGAGACUAGAACUGACGACGAAUGUCUUUAACUAUCCUUAUCUCUUCCCUUCGGGGGCGUAGGUUCGAAUCCUGCUCGCGUCG